Cucumis sativus (cucumber) is the source of this 688-nucleotide long non-coding RNA. RefSeq lists it as uncharacterized. NCBI's taxonomy places the organism in Eukaryota, Viridiplantae, Streptophyta, Magnoliopsida, Cucurbitales, Cucurbitaceae. The transcript has 2 exons. The record is from RefSeq and is a predicted model, not a curated record.
AAACCAUUCUGCUGAAAAUGUCGUCGAAAUUUAGGGGUGAAUCCAUUGCCAUGAAGAACAUUGCCACAGCUACUCUGUAAUCAAUCUUGUAGUUACCAACAAGAGCUACAAGAUCCGUGAAGUCUCCCACAAACAUCCGAGGCAUUGUGCUCACUACCUUCUUCACCCAGUCUGCUUGUUUAGCAAACAAGACAGAAUCAUCACUGACUCUGGUCCAAGAUUGAGGGACCUGUGAGAAAGAGAAACAAUUAUAGAACUCUUCAACUCUUCUACAAAGCAAGAGAGAUACAACUGAGACCUGCAUCAUACCUUGUAAGUGAUCCAAAGUUUAUCUUUAUCUGCUUGCAGUAAAUUCCAAUAGUUGAGAAUGGUGUUAUCUUGGAGGAACAAGAAUCCUUCUGCAUUAGGAAAUCUUUCAAAUACCAUGGGCAGGUACCUAUAAAAAGAGAAUUAAUUUGUUGAAUUUAUCAUUCAUGAACUUUUCUAAAUAAAUAUUUAGUCAUUCAUUUUAAUUAAGAAUCCUUUCUUUUUAAUCUGUCAUCAAACUAAACCUGACUAAAAAAGAGUAUACAGACAUUAAACAUAUUGUAGGCAAAAUGACCAAUACCCCGUUUUCCCAUUAUUUGAAUCUAUUUGGUGUAUAAACAUCAUAUCACUAUUUUUUUAUGUAUUUAUAUCAGUUUUUAAA